This 216-nucleotide ribosomal RNA is filed under the name uncultured fungus. RNAcentral describes it as "partial small subunit ribosomal RNA". The stretch from base 38 to 216 matches the Rfam family "Eukaryotic small subunit ribosomal RNA", at positions 684 to 864 of the family's 1831-position model. Lineage: Eukaryota; Fungi. The record is from RNAcentral.
GGAUCAGUUCGCUGGUCGUGCCUCUGGUAUGUACUGGUGUUACUGGUUCCUCCCUUCUGACGAACUGUCAUGUCAUUAAUUUGGUGUGGCGGGGAAUCAGGACUGUUACUUUGAAAAAAUUAGAGUGUUUAAAGCAGGCUAACGCUUGAAUACAUUAGCAUGGAAUAACGAAAUAGGACGCGCGGUUCUAUUUUGUUGGUUUCUAGGAUUGACGUA